GUUUGAUCAUGGCUCAGAUUGAACGCUGGCGGCAGGCCUAACACAUGCAAGUCGAGCGGUAGCACAGAGAGCUUGCUCUCGGGUGACGAGCGGCGGACGGGUGAGUAAUGUCUGGGAAACUGCCUGAUGGAGGGGGAUAACUACUGGAAACGGUAGCUAAUACCGCAUAAUGUCGCAAGACCAAAGUGGGGGACCUUCGGGCCUCAUGCCAUCAGAUGUGCCCAGAUGGGAUUAGCUAGUAGGUGGGGUAACGGCUCACCUAGGCGACGAUCCCUAGCUGGUCUGAGAGGAUGACCAGCCACACUGGAACUGAGACACGGUCCAGACUCCUACGGGAGGCAGCAGUGGGGAAUAUUGCACAAUGGGCGCAAGCCUGAUGCAGCCAUGCCGCGUGUGUGAAGAAGGCCUUCGGGUUGUAAAGCACUUUCAGCGGGGAGGAAGGCGAUAAGGUUAAUAACCUUGUCGAUUGACGUUACCCGCAGAAGAAGCACCGGCUAACUCCGUGCCAGCAGCCGCGGUAAUACGGAGGGUGCAAGCGUUAAUCGGAAUUACUGGGCGUAAAGCGCACGCAGGCGGUCUGUCAAGUCGGAUGUGAAAUCCCCGGGCUCAACCUGGGAACUGCAUUCGAAACUGGCAGGCUAGAGUCUUGUAGAGGGGGGUAGAAUUCCAGGUGUAGCGGUGAAAUGC
Molecule: ribosomal RNA, 687 nt
Filed under: Klebsiella pneumoniae
Lineage: Bacteria; Pseudomonadati; Pseudomonadota; Gammaproteobacteria; Enterobacterales; Enterobacteriaceae
Description: bacterial SSU rRNA
Rfam family: Bacterial small subunit ribosomal RNA
Source: RNAcentral